Molecule: ribosomal RNA, 516 nt
Filed under: uncultured bacterium
Lineage: Bacteria
Description: bacterial SSU rRNA
Rfam family: Bacterial small subunit ribosomal RNA
Source: RNAcentral
GCGGUAAUACAGAGGGUGCAAGCGUUAAUCGGAAUUACUGGGCGUAAAGCGCACGUAGGCGGUUUUUUAAGUCAGAUGUGAAAGCCCCGGGCUCAACCUGGGAAUUGCAUUUGAAACUGGAAAACUAGAGUGUGUGAGAGGGGGGUAGAAUUCCAAGUGUAGCGGUGAAAUGCCUAGAGAUUUGGAGGAAUACCAGUGGCGAAGGCGGCCCCCUGGCACAACACUGACGCUCAGGUGCGAAAGCGUGGGGAGCAAACAGGAUUAGAUACCCUGGUAGUCCACGCCGUAAACGAUGUCUACUAGCUGUUCGUGACCUUGUGUCGUGAGUAGCGCAGCUAACGCACUAAGUAGACCGCCUGGGGAGUACGGUCGCAAGAUUAAAACUCAAAUGAAUUGACGGGGGCCCGCACAAGCGGUGGAGCAUGUGGUUUAAUUCGACGCAACGCGAAGAACCUUACCUACUCUUGACAUCCAGAGAAGACUGCAGAGAUGCGGUUGUGCCUUCGGGAACUCUGA